Small nucleolar RNA from Gadus morhua (Atlantic cod), 129 nucleotides. Ensembl annotates it as small nucleolar RNA SNORA14. Lineage: Eukaryota; Metazoa; Chordata; Actinopteri; Gadiformes; Gadidae. The record is from Ensembl.
ACGCAUCUUUGAAAACCCCUCUUGGACCUUUGUGGCCCACGGGACAAAAAAGGGUGCAAGAGAACGUUUGGAAUUCCAAGGUCGAGAGAUGUGUCAGUUUCUCUCGGCCAUUUCACCUCCAAGACAUCA